This 403-nucleotide ribosomal RNA is filed under the name uncultured bacterium. Its description in RNAcentral is "bacterial SSU rRNA". It matches the Rfam family "Bacterial small subunit ribosomal RNA", at positions 368 to 768 of the family's 1533-position model. The record is from RNAcentral.
GCAAUGCCCGCAAGGGUGACCCAGCAACGCCGCGUGGAGGAUGAAUGUCGCAAGAUUGUAAACUCCUGUUAGAGGGGAAGAAUAGUACCGGUUGGACCGGUAUAUGACUGUACCCUCAGAGAAAGCCCCGGCUAACUACGUGCCAGCAGCCGCGGUAAUACGUAGGGGGCAAGCGUCGUCCGGAUUUACUGGGUGUAAAGGGCGCGCAGGCGGGAUAAAAAGUCAGUGGUGAAAUCCUACAGCUUAACUGUAGAACUGCCUUUGAUACUUUUAUUCUUGAGUUCGGGAGAGAGAGACAGAAUUCCAGGUGUAGUGGUGAAAUACGUAGAUAUCUGGAAGAACACCAGUUGCGAAGGCGGUCUCUUGGUCCGACACUGACGCUGAGGCGCGAAAGCGUGGGGAG